GCCGGCGUGUUGGAAUUGGCAGACGAGGUGGACUCAAAAUCCAUUGCUAGCGAUAGCGUGCGGGUUCAAGUCCCGCCGCCGGCACCA
This 87-nucleotide transfer RNA is filed under the name Ruminococcus bromii. RNAcentral describes it as "tRNA-Leu". It matches the Rfam family "tRNA". From Rfam's summary of the family: Transfer RNA (tRNA) molecules are approximately 80 nucleotides in length. Their secondary structure includes four short double-helical elements and three loops (D, anti-codon, and T loops). RNAcentral also lists the same sequence under 1 other name. Lineage: Bacteria; Bacillati; Bacillota; Clostridia; Eubacteriales; Oscillospiraceae. The record is from RNAcentral.